CUUUGAGAGUUUACAGCCUGAGAACAAGACAUAGAAAACAAGAGAAGGAAACACAAUGGUUGAAUUCAAAUCAUUUCACAUGUUUCUGAUCCUGAUGAUUCCAUUUACAGUAGACAACGUGGCAACACCACCACCAACAAGAACAACUAAAUUACCAACAACAACCAAAAGAACAACUAAAUUAUCAUCAACAAGCAAACGAACAACUAAAGUAACCAAAGCAACAACCAGACCAACAACAACUAAAGCAACCAGAACAACAACCAGACCAACACCACCACCACCAACAACAACAGACCCAGCAGCAGGAGAAACAAGCCCAAAUGCAGAUCUCCCAGCAAUUCUGAUCCCUGUAGCUGUUGUUUCAGCAGCACUCUUGAUCAUCAUUGUGGCAGUCAUCAGAUGGAAGGGAGCUAAAGAGAACAACACCCAGUUGGACGACAACACUGCUGAUCCUCCAGAUGGUGUUUCCUACGCCUCCAUCCGCUACAAGAAGAAGACCAAGAGAAAAGCCCGGGUUCAGGGUGAAGAUGAUAUGGUGACCUACAGCACUCUCAACACUUUCUCCACCUCUGCUGGAGCUUCCACUGAUCCCAGGAGGCUCUACAUCUCCAUCAACAAGACCAACACAUAAGAGGCCACAGUGUAGCUACACCUGUAAUCAUUACAUUUAUUUCACAUUGAUAAAUGAUCAGUUCAAGCUUCUGAUUACUUCAUACUACUGUGGGAGAGUUUUCUUUGUAUCUCAAACCUGGUAAAAUAUGAUAUAGUUUAUCUUCAUAAUCAGUUAUUUAGCUUGUUUAUUUUGUGUGAUUACUUUGCUGGAAACAUGAAGAGGAAGACAGAUAUAGAACAAAUUUGAGUUAUUUUCUAUUAUACUGCUGUAAAUUUUCUAUACAAUAUAACAAUAUUUUUUUCUCUUUUUUAUGAUUGCUGUAUGAAUAUUUUAUUAACUGCUGUAAAACCUUGUUGUCCAUAAGGUGGUGAAGUAGAUUCAGGGUAUCAAACUCUCAAAAGUAGAGUCAUGUGGCUGAUUGUUGUAUUUACAUAAAAAAUAAGUAAGAAUAUUAUUGUACAUUUUCCAAAAUAACCUUACUUUUUCUAAAUGUUUUUUGUUCAUCUUGUCAUUACCUUCUUUUUAAACAUAUAUCUGUUAUUGUUUAACAUGUAAUAAGUUGAGGAUGACAUCACUUCUUCAUUAGUUAUCAUCCUUGAGAGUCAUUAAUUCAGCAGCAGGAAAGGAGUUGAUGAUUUGUUGUACAGUUUGAGGAGAAAUCAGGUAGUUUUCAUGCUUGUUCAGAUGUAUUUAGAAGUCAUUUAUGUUUGAUGCAGUUUGUGUAAAAAAAAAGGGACUGUUGGAAAAGUGAAAUAAAGGAAA
Molecule: long non-coding RNA, 1378 nt
Organism: Amphiprion ocellaris (clown anemonefish)
Lineage: Eukaryota; Metazoa; Chordata; Actinopteri; Pomacentridae
Source: Ensembl